Molecule: long non-coding RNA, 367 nt
Filed under: Populus trichocarpa (black cottonwood)
Lineage: Eukaryota; Viridiplantae; Streptophyta; Magnoliopsida; Malpighiales; Salicaceae
Description: long non-coding RNA (PTRI_LNC001992)
Source: RNAcentral
ACCUUGGAUUCCCUUUGACAACAGACAGCAUCAAAGCAACCAUCCUGGUGAGUAUAUAUGCUUCACAAUUAAUGUUCUACCAGGAGUGCUGAUCAAGAACAUUUGAUCUACUUUCUAUAUAUAUAUAUAUAUAUUCUAAGCUUAUAAGGCACCUUCUGCAAAGUUUUUGAAGACACAUCCAAAGUCAACGGUCCAUCGUUGAACCAGAUGUUUUGAAACAGUGAAUUUCAACGGCCAGAGACAUGGCCGGAUCUGGCCAUAGAGGUGACCGGAUUUUAGAGGCAUCCGUCAUGACUCACUGGCCGCGCCAGACCACGUGGAAGUACUAGCGCAUUUUGAAGGCCUUCAAAGACACUAGAGAAAGCAC